UUUUAUGGAGAGUUUGAUCCUGGCUCAGGAUGAACGCUGGCGGCGUGCCUAAUACAUGCAAGUCGAGCGAACGGACGAGAAGCUUGCUUCUCUGAUGUUAGCGGCGGACGGGUGAGUAACACGUGGAUAACCUACCUAUAAGACUGGGAUAACUUCGGGAAACCGGAGCUAAUACCGGAUAAUAUUUUGAACCGCAUGGUUCAAAAGUAAAAGACGGUCUUGCUGUCACUUAUAGAUGGAUCCGCGCUGCAUUAGCUAGUUGGUAAGGUAACGGCUUACCAAGGCAACGAUGCAUAGCCGACCUGAGAGGGUGAUCGGCCACACUGGAACUGAGACACGGUCCAGACUCCUACGGGAGGCAGCAGUAG
This 368-nucleotide ribosomal RNA is filed under the name Staphylococcus aureus. Its description in RNAcentral is "bacterial SSU rRNA". It matches the Rfam family "Bacterial small subunit ribosomal RNA", at positions 1 to 357 of the family's 1533-position model. The record is from RNAcentral. Lineage: Bacteria; Bacillati; Bacillota; Bacilli; Caryophanales; Staphylococcaceae.